RNAcentral lists this long non-coding RNA (263 nucleotides) under Carica papaya (papaya). RNAcentral describes it as "long non-coding RNA (CPAP_LNC009331)". The record is from RNAcentral. Lineage: Eukaryota; Viridiplantae; Streptophyta; Magnoliopsida; Brassicales; Caricaceae.
UUAUAUACUGUAAACACAUUCAAUUAUAAUCAAUUUAAAAGAAAUUUUUUAAAGUUUAGGCUUUUCUUUCAUUAACUUUUUGUUCAUUUUUAACUUCAAGUUCUUCGAGAAGCAAAAGUUUCCAAAAGUCUUAUUGAGCUAAGAAGAGGGGAUCAACGUAUCGGUAAGUUUGUGGUGUUUUUCCUUUACUUGUUUAUUUUCUCUAGUUUUUAUUUUUGUAUUUCUUUUAGAAUUGUAGAUUCAAUUAGAGGGAGAAGUUUUCU